RNAcentral lists this ribosomal RNA (483 nucleotides) under uncultured bacterium. Its description in RNAcentral is "partial 16S ribosomal RNA". It matches the Rfam family "Bacterial small subunit ribosomal RNA", at positions 28 to 506 of the family's 1533-position model. The record is from RNAcentral.
GAUUAACGCUAGCGGCAGGCAUAAUACAUGCAAGUUGAACGGCAGCACAGGUAGCAAUACUGGGUGGCGAGUGGCGCACGGGUGCGUAACACGUAUGCAACCUACCCUAUACAGGCGAAUAACCUUUAGAAAUGAGGGCUAAUACGCCGUAGUAUUACAGAUGGGCAUCUAUUUGUAAUUAAAGAUUUAUCGGUAUAGGAUGGGCAUGCGUCCCAUUAGUUAGUUGGUAAGGUAACGGCUUACCAAGACGAUGAUGGGUAGGGGAUCUGAGAGGACUUACCCCCACACUGGUACUGAGACACGGACCAGACUCCUACGGGAGGCAGCAGUAAGGAAUAUUGGGCAAUGGCCGCGAGGCUGACCCAGCCAUGCCGCGUGCAGGAAGACGGCCUUAUGGGUUGUAAACUGCUUUUAUACGGGAAUAAUAGAGUGUACGCGUACAUUUAUGCAAGUAUCGUAUGAAUAAGCAUCGGCGAACUCCGU